GACGAACGCUGGCGGCGUGCUUAACACAUGCAAGUCGAACGGAAAGGCCCUGCUUUUGUGGGGUGCUCGAGUGGCGAAGGGGUGCGUAACACGUGAGUAACCUGCCCUUGACUUUGGGAUAACUUCAGGAAACUGGGGCUAAUACCGGAUAGGAGCUCCUGCUGCAUGGUGGGGGUUGGAAAGUUUCGGCGGUUGGGGAUGGACUCGCGGCUUAUCAGCUUGUUGGUGGGGUAGUGGCUUACCAAGGCUUUGACGGGUAGCCGGCCUGAGAGGGUGACCGGCCACAUUGGGACUGAGGUACGGCCCAGACUCCUACGGGAGGCAGCAGUGGGGAAUAUUGCACAAUGGGCGGAAGCCUGAUGCAGCAACGCCGCGUGCGGGAUGACGGCCUUCGGGUUGUAAACCGCUUUCGCCUGUGACGAAGCGUGAGUGACGGUAAUGGGUAAAGAAGCACCGGCUAACUACGUG
Molecule: ribosomal RNA, 468 nt
Filed under: uncultured bacterium
Lineage: Bacteria
Description: partial 16S ribosomal RNA
Rfam family: Bacterial small subunit ribosomal RNA
Source: RNAcentral